UACGGGGGGGGCGAGCGUUGUUCGGAAUUACUGGGCGUAAAUGGGUUGUAGGUGGUCUGCUAAGUCAGACGUGAAAUCCCUCAGCUUAACUGGGGAACUGCGUCUGAUACUGGCGGACUUGAGGACAGGAGAGGAACGCGGAAUUCCAGGUGUAGCGGUGAAAUGCGUAGAUAUCUGGAGGAACACCGGUGGCGAAGGCGGCGUUCUGGACUGCUCUUGACGCUGAGGCGCGAAAGCUAGGGUAGCAAACGGG
Molecule: ribosomal RNA, 253 nt
Filed under: uncultured bacterium
Lineage: Bacteria
Description: partial 16S ribosomal RNA
Rfam family: Bacterial small subunit ribosomal RNA
Source: RNAcentral